RNAcentral lists this long non-coding RNA (279 nucleotides) under Ananas comosus (pineapple). RNAcentral's name for it is "long non-coding RNA (ACOM_LNC018703)". Lineage: Eukaryota; Viridiplantae; Streptophyta; Magnoliopsida; Poales; Bromeliaceae. The record is from RNAcentral.
AGGAAUAACCUUAAAAUACAAAGUUUUUUUUUUUUAUGAGAAAUAGGUAGCACGCUACCCGUUUCGUUUAUUUCAUUCAGAAAUAAAUUUAGCUGGAAAUGUGAAUCAAUUAGGAUUCGAACUUGGAAUCUCGAGUACCAACCACCAAGUACUUUGUCACUUGCUCUAGGGUCGGUCGGUCCUAAAAUACAAAGUUAUACGUAAUGUGGUUAAUUAACUGAGCUUUUCAGAUGCUUCGAGUAAGCUUCUAUAAUAAGAGAAUUAAGUAAGGCACAUCUC